CCUAACACAUGCAAGUCGAGGCGGAGAUUGCUUAGAUGAGAGCUUCGGCAGGUAGUUCGGUAAUUCAGGCGGCGGACGGGUGAGUAACGCGUGAGCAAUCUGUCUCAGACGAGGGGAAUAACGCAGCGAAAGUUGCACUAAUACCGCAUGAGACCACAACGCCACAUGGCGAAGGGGUCAAAGGAGCAAUCCGGUCUGAGGUGAGCUCGCGUCCCAUUAGGUAGUUGGUGAGGUAACGGCCCACCAAGCCGACGAUGGGUAGCCGACCUGAGAGGGUGAUCGGCCACACUGGAACUGAGACACGGUCCAGACUCCUACGGGAGGCAGCAGUGGGGAAUAUUGGGCAAUGGGCGAAAGCCUGACCCAGCAACGCCGCGUGAGUGAAGAAGGUCUUCGGAUUGUAAAUCUCUGUCCUAAGAGAAGAGGGGAAGACGGUAUCUUAGGAGGAAGCCCCGGCUAACUACGUGCCAGCCGCGGC
RNAcentral lists this ribosomal RNA (478 nucleotides) under uncultured bacterium. RNAcentral's name for it is "bacterial SSU rRNA". It matches the Rfam family "Bacterial small subunit ribosomal RNA", at positions 47 to 518 of the family's 1533-position model. The record is from RNAcentral.